This 399-nucleotide RNase P RNA is filed under the name Rhizobium sp. RNAcentral's name for it is "RNase P RNA component class A". It matches the Rfam family "Bacterial RNase P class A". From Rfam's summary of the family: Ribonuclease P (RNase P) is a ubiquitous endoribonuclease, found in archaea, bacteria and eukarya as well as chloroplasts and mitochondria. Its best characterised activity is the generation of mature 5'-ends of tRNAs by cleaving the 5'-leader elements of precursor-tRNAs. RNAcentral also lists the same sequence under 3 other names. Lineage: Bacteria; Pseudomonadati; Pseudomonadota; Alphaproteobacteria; Hyphomicrobiales; Rhizobiaceae. The record is from RNAcentral.
CCAGUUGGCCGGGCAGCCGCGCUUUACCAAUGCCGAAAGGCGGUAGGGUGAGGAAAGUCCGGGCUCCACGGAAACACGGUGCCGGAUAACGUCCGGCGGGGGCGACCUCAGGGAAAGUGCCACAGAAAGCAAACCGCCUCGCUCGCGAGGUAAGGGUGAAAGGGUGGGGUAAGAGCCCACCGCGUCGCUGGCAACAGGGACGGCACGGUAAACCCCACCGGGAGCAAGACCGAAUAGGGAUGACGCGGGUCACGCGCAAGCGCGGCCACAGCCUGUUUCCGGGCCAGUCAUCCGGGUGGGUUGCGUGAGGCAGCGUGCAAACGCUGUCCCAGAUGAAUGGCUGCCACGUUCCGGGCGACCGGAGCCAUACAGAACCCGGCUUACAGGCCAACUGGCGAU